Molecule: RNA transcript, 2729 nt
Organism: Nomascus leucogenys (northern white-cheeked gibbon)
Lineage: Eukaryota; Metazoa; Chordata; Mammalia; Primates; Hylobatidae
Gene name: alpha-internexin pseudogene
Exons: 1
Source: RefSeq, a predicted model, not a curated record
AUGAGCUUCGGCUAGGAGCACUACCUGUGCUCCUCCUCCUCCUACCGCAAGGUGUUCGGGAAUGGCUCUCACCUGUCCGCCCGCCUCUCCGGGGCCGGCGGCGAGGGCGGCUUCCGCUCUCAGUCGCUGUCCCGCAGCAAUGUGGCCUCAACGACCGCUUCGCCGUGUUCAUCAAGAAGGUGCAUCAGCUGGAGACGCAGAACCGCGCGUUGCAGGCCGAGCUGGCCGCGCUGCGACAGCGCCACGCCGAGCCGUCGCGCGUCGGCGAGCUCUUCCAGCCAGAGCUGCGCGAGCUGCGCGAGCUGCGCGCGCAGCUGGAGGAGGCCAGCUCGGCUCGCUCGCAGGCCCUGCUGGAGCGCGACGGGCUGGCCUAGGAGGUGCAGCGGCUGCGGGCGCGCGCGAGGAGGAGAGCCGCGGACGAGCACGCCCUGAAGACGCAGCAGCGCGACGUGGGCGGCGCCACGCUGGCCCGCCUGGACCUGGAGAAGAAGGUGGAGUCGCUGCUGGACGAGCUGGCCUUCCUACGCCAGGUGCACGACGAGGAGGUAGCGGAGCUGCUGGCCACGCUGCAGGCGUCGUCCGUCACAGGCCGCGGCCGAGGUGGACAAGGCUGUGGCUAAACUAGACCUGACCUCGGCUCUGAGGGAGAUCCGCGCCCAGUAUGAGUCCCUGGCCGCUAAGAACCUGCAGUCCGCGGAAGAAUGGUACAAGUCCAAGUUUGCCAACCUGAACGAGCAGGCGGCGCGCAGCACCGAGGCCAUCAGGGCCAGCCGCGAGGAGAUCCACGAGUACCGGCGCCAGCUGCAGGCGCGCACCAUCGAGAUCGAGGGCCGGCGCAGAGCCAAGGAGUCCUUGGAGAGGCAGAUCCUGGAGCUGGAGGAGCGGCACAGUGCCGAGGUAGCUGGCUACCAGGAUAGCAUUGGGCAGCUGGAGAAUGAUCUGAGGAACACCAAGAGUGAGAUAGCACGCCACCUUCGGGAAUACCAGGACUUGCUCAAUGUCAAAAUGGCUCUUGACAUUGAGAUAGCUGCUUACAAGAAACUGCUGGAAGGCGAGGAGACAUGUUUUAGCUCCAGUGGGUUAAGCAUUUCAGGGCUGAAUCCACUUCCCAAUCCAAGUUAUCUGCUCCCACCUGGAAUCCUCAGUUCUACAACCUCCAAAGUCUCAUCCACAGGGCUAUCACUUAAGAAAGAGGAGGAGAAGGAGGAGGCAUCUAAGGUAGCCUCUAAGAAAACCUCCCAGAUAGGGGAAAGUUUUGAAGAAAUAUUAGAGGAGACAGUAAUAUCUACUAAGAAAACCGAGAAAUCAAAUAUAGAAGAAACCACCAUAUCAAGCCAAAAAAUGUAAUUCCAUUGCUUCGAAAAAGUUAAUGCUUAAGAGGGAAUGAUAUGCAUUUGACUUGUUAAACAGCCUAUUCCUGAACCAUAACAGCUGCCACCACUAUAAAAUGUCUUCAAGGCUUCAGUCUCAUAUUUAGUAUUGAAUACUUACAUUCUCUAAUAAGAAAACCACCCCUUAGAUUGAAGUAAACUGCAGUCCUGGAGCAAUCACAGAUGAGUUAUCUAAGAAUACAGCUUUCUGAACUUCAGCUCACGCUUCACAGUGAUUGAUGAUUCAGGUGCAGAGGAAGUACAAACUAAGGUGCUAAAUCUGUGAUCAUCGUCAUUUGCUGUGAACUGAAAUUAAAACUAUUCACGCUACCCAGCCAUUACCCAGCUAAAUAAUCUUACUCUAGAUACCUAAAACAUAAGAUCACUGCCAGAGACAAACUAAUGGUCCACACCCAAUUCCACUCUGAUAGAAUUAUUCACAAAUAAUAGGUGUUUGUUUAAUGGACACUUUUCACCUCCCUCAAUUCCAUAUAUCCUUUUCUUCCAUGUAGGAAAAAAAUAGUCUAGUGUAGUAUUCUUCCCUUUUAAACACAUUUUGGUUCUUCUCAAAGAACUUACCCCCAUUCGCUCUCUGCUCAGUGGGUAAAAUUAGAUGCAUGUUGACCAUGUCUAUGACUCGUGUAAUUACUUAUCCCUGCCCAUUUCAUAUUCUUUCAAUUCUGUAAGUUAAAAAAAUGGCAGUGAUGAAUUUUAAGGGUUUCCCCCAACAUAUGAAAUAAUGAAAAGAAUCCCUAGACUUUAGGCUUUCAGCUUACACAAAUCUAUUUAAUUAGGAGAAAAAACUAUUAAGGAUGUAGCUUUUCACUUUUACUUUAGAAGCACAGUAAAUAUCCCAAACUGUGGUGAAGCUGACCUUAGAUUUAGUAGUAUAAGCUAGAAGAAGUGAGUGUUUCUAUGAGUGGAAAAAGCCAAGUGUCAUUUAUGUGUCAGUUCAUUUGUGGUGAUAUAGAAUUAGCUUUUUCAUCCCCUUACCCUUAGAAUCCACGUAUUCCCCUUCUCACUAGUCUAGGUCCUAAAGAGGCCUGGCUUUCACUCUCCUAUGCCUUUUACAACUGCUAAGUGUAGGAUAUUUUCUCACCAGGACACAAUGCUACCACCCCAAAGUAAAAGAAACCACUUCUGCUCAAUCAACACUACCAGCGUAUAUAUAAGAAAGAAAUCUUUCUCUUUUCUAAAAGACUUCCCCAACACUUACCCCAUGGCUGCACAGUUGGUGGGAUCCUGCCAGAGAGGAAGAGACACUCAGACCAGAGAAGGGGUGUGCAUGCGCCUACUCACUUGCUAGAAGUAGAUUCUGGACAGUCAGCUCUUCAUCUGCCCAACUGUGUAGCAUCUGCA